RNAcentral lists this transfer RNA (71 nucleotides) under Marmota monax (woodchuck). RNAcentral's name for it is "tRNA.Ala". It matches the Rfam family "tRNA". Rfam says of the family: Transfer RNA (tRNA) molecules are approximately 80 nucleotides in length. The record is from RNAcentral. Lineage: Eukaryota; Metazoa; Chordata; Mammalia; Rodentia; Sciuridae.
GGGGUUGUGGCUCAGUGGUAGAGCGCUCGCCUAGCAUGUGAGAGGCCCUGGGUUCAAUUCUCAGCACCACA